GAUAAACGCUGGCGGCGCACAUAAGACAUGCAAGUUGAACGGACUUAAUCGAAAUAUUUAUAUUUUGAAGCGGUUAGUGGCGGACUGGUGAGUAGCGCGUAAGGAACCUGCCUAUUAGAGGGGAAUAACAGUGAGAAAUCAUUGCUAAUACCGCAUAUGCCAUAGAUAUCACAUGAUAACAGUGGGAAAGGAGCAAUCCGCUAAUAGAUGGCCUUGCGUCUGAUUAGAUAGUUGGUGGGGUAACGGCCUACCAAGUCGACGAUCAGUAGCCGGACUGAGAGGUUGAACGGCAACAUUGGGACUGAGAUACGGCCCAGACUCCUACGGGAGGCAGCAGUCGGGAAUAUUGCGCAAUGGAGGAAACUCUGACGCAGUGACGCCGCGUAUAGGAAGAAGGUUUUCGGAUUGUAAACUAUUGUCGUUAGGGAAGAGAAAGGACAGUACCUAAGGAGGAAGCUCCGGCUAACUACGUG
This 473-nucleotide ribosomal RNA is filed under the name uncultured bacterium. Its description in RNAcentral is "partial 16S ribosomal RNA". It matches the Rfam family "Bacterial small subunit ribosomal RNA", at positions 28 to 507 of the family's 1533-position model. The record is from RNAcentral.